AACGUACGCUGGCGGCACGCCUAACACAUGCAAGUCGAACGAAGUAGCAAUACUUAGUGGCAGACGGGUGAGUAACAUGUAGGUAUCUGCCCUUUGGCCUGGAAUAACACGAGGAAACUUGUGCUAAUACCGGAUAAGUCUUUACGGAGAAAGCUUUAUGCACCAUUGGAUGAGCCUGCACUUGAUUAGUUUGUUGGUGGGGUAAUGGCCUACCAAGACUGUGAUCAAUAGCUGAUUUGAGAGGAUGAUCAGCCACAUUGGGACUGAGACACGGCCCAAACUCCUACGGGAGGCAGCAGUGGGGAAUCUUGCACAAUGGAGGAAACUCUGAUGCAGCGAUGCCGCGUGAGUGAAGAAGGCCCUUGGGUUGUAAAGCUCUUUCGUCGGGGAAGAAAAUGACUGUACCCGAAUAAGAAGGUCCGGCUAACUUCGUGCCAGCAGCCGCGGUAAUACGAAGGGACCUAGCGUAGUUCGGAAUUACUGGGCUUAAAGAGUUCGUAGGUGGUUGAAAAAGUUGGUGGUGAAAUCCCAGAGCUUAACUCUGGAACUGCCAUCAAAACUUUUCAGCUAGAGUAUGAUAGAGGAAAGCAGAAUUUCUAGUGUAGAGGUGAAAUUCGUAGAUAUUAGAAAGAAUACCAAUUGCGAAGGCAGCUUUCUGGAUCAUUACUGACACUGAGGAACGAAAGCAUGGGUAGCGAAGAGGAUUAGAUACCCUCGUAGUCCAUGCCGUAAACGAUGUGUGUUAGACGUUGGAAAUUUAUUUUCAGUGUCGCAGGGAAACCGAUAAACACACCGCCUGGGGAGUACGACCGCAAGGUUAAAACUCAAAUGAAUUGACGGGGACCCGCACAAGUAGUGGAGCAUGUGGUUUAAUUCGAAGAUACGCGCAGAACCUUACCAACACUUGACAUGUUCGUCGCGACUCUAAGAGAUUAGAGUUUUCGGUUCGGCCGGACGAAACACAGGUGCUGCAUGGCUGUCGUCAGCUCGUGUCGUGAGAUGUUGGGUUAAGUCCCGCAACGAGCGCAACCCUCACUUUUAGUUGCCAUCAUUAAGUUGGGCACUCUGAAAGAACUGCCAGUGAUAAGCUGGAGGAAGGUGGGGAUGACGUCAAGUCCUCAUGGCCCUUACGUGUUGGGCUACACACGUGCUACAAUGGUAUCUACAACAGGAAGCAAGACUGCGAAGUUAAGCAAAUCCCUAAAAGAUACCUCAGUUCGGAUUGCACUCUGCAACUCGAGUGCAUGAAGCUGGAAUUACUAGUAAUCGUGGAUCAGCGUGCCACGGUGAAUGCGUUCCCGGGUCU
This 1306-nucleotide ribosomal RNA is filed under the name uncultured bacterium. Its description in RNAcentral is "bacterial SSU rRNA". It matches the Rfam family "Bacterial small subunit ribosomal RNA", at positions 28 to 1381 of the family's 1533-position model. The record is from RNAcentral.